GUGUGUCAAUGAGUGUAACCAUCCGACUGCAUAUGGGGACAUUUGGACUGCAUAAGUCGGACCCUGUUCAUGCUAAUCAAUAAUAUUGAAAUUGCAUUAAAGCAAGUGAACGAUAACCAAUGAACCCAACCCUGAAAUUUAGUAAAACCGGGGCUUUCUGAAUAUUCUGUAUCCUAUAAUGCUGUAUUCCUAACACUAUAGUGUCCCUCUGCCCCCAUCAGGGCUGGCCGGUCCA
Non-coding RNA from Pelobates cultripes (western spadefoot toad), 235 nucleotides. Lineage: Eukaryota; Metazoa; Chordata; Amphibia; Anura; Pelobatidae. The record is from the annotation of a GenBank genome assembly.